Non-coding RNA from Solanum lycopersicum (tomato), 442 nucleotides. The record is from RefSeq and is a predicted model, not a curated record. Lineage: Eukaryota; Viridiplantae; Streptophyta; Magnoliopsida; Solanales; Solanaceae.
GCCACUACUCAGCUCAAUAAACUAUUUUUUUCUUUUAUUUUCCCCAGAAAAACAAAAUAGGCUUUUCAUUAAGCUUGACAAAAUUGACACUCAAACCAGCCAUAGCGAUAGGAGAGAAGUACGGCGAUAAUGGAGUUAUCAGUCUUGUUGCUUCAGCUUCCGGAAAUUAGACGCAUGUUAGCUUCGUUCUGCUACUAGAAUUCUCAAUGGGGUAAGGUCUCAGGAAGGAUGAUUGGCAAUGCUAGAGAGUUUGAAGGUUGCUAUUUUCUUGAAGAUGGUGAUAAUUCAAUAAAUCUAAGUUCAACUUGUUUGAACACUGUUCUAGUUGAUAAUAAAAACAUGUUAUGGCACAAUAGACUUGGUCAUCCUAGUUUUCAUUAUUUGCAACUCUUGUUACCCCAGUUGUUUAUGAAUAAAAGUGCAUCCUCCUUUGAGUGUGAAA